ACAAUCUUCAUCACACAAGACAAAACAACAACAAUGAACAACAUCAUCAUCCUCAUCUGGACACUCACACUGUUUGCUCGAGAGAGUAGAGGACAGAUCACUGUAACUCAGAGUCCAUCAUUAAUAACAGCAGCUCAAGGACAAGAAGUCAGAAUAAACUGUAAAACCAGCAGUAGAGUGCAUAAUGGUGUUUAUUUAGCCUGGUACUUACAGAAACCUGGAGAAGCUCCUAAACUCCUCAUAUAUGCUGCAACAUACCGUUACACUGGAACUUCAUCUAGAUUCAGUGGCAGUGGAUCUGACAGUGAUUUCACUCUCACCAUCAGUGCAGUCCAGACUGAAGAUACAGGAGACUAUUACUGUCAGAGCUUUCACUAUCCAAACAGUAAAUAUGUGUUCACACAGUGA
Molecule: non-coding RNA, 408 nt
Organism: Onychostoma macrolepis
Lineage: Eukaryota; Metazoa; Chordata; Actinopteri; Cypriniformes; Cyprinidae
Source: the annotation of a RefSeq genome assembly